CAGGGUGAGUCGACCCCUAAGGCGAGGCCGAAAGGCGUAGUCGAUGGGAAACAGGUUAAUAUUCCUGUACUUGGUGUUACUGCGAAGGGGGGACGGAGAAGGCUAUGUUGGCCGGGCGACGGUUGUCCCGGUUUAAGCGUGUAGGCUGGUUUUCCAGGCAAAUCCGGAAAAUCAAGGCUGAGGCGUGAUGACGAGGCACUACGGUGCUGAAGCAACAAAUGCCCUGCUUCCAGGAAAAGCCUCUAAGCAUCAGGUAACAUCAAAUCGUACCCCAAACCGACACAGGUGGUCAGGUAGAGAAUACCAAGGCGCUUGAGAGAACUCGGGUGAAGGAACUAGGCAAAAUGGUGCCGUAACUUCGGGAGAAGG
Molecule: ribosomal RNA, 369 nt
Filed under: Escherichia coli
Lineage: Bacteria; Pseudomonadati; Pseudomonadota; Gammaproteobacteria; Enterobacterales; Enterobacteriaceae
Description: partial 23S ribosomal RNA
Rfam family: Bacterial large subunit ribosomal RNA
Source: RNAcentral